GUUACACAGCUGGGAGGUGUAGAGCAGGGAUUUACACCCAGGUCUGUCUCACUCUGAAUUCUGUCUUCUUUACAGGAGGCCUGGUUCUAAUUCUCAAAUUGCAUGAAUUGACUGGAAGCUCAGGAAGAGGAUCCUCCCCGGGAAAGAGGGGAAAACCUGCUACUUAGGAAGUGCUUUGUUACUGGAUCUUCGUUACUGGAUCUUCGUUACUGGAUCUUCGUUACUGGAUCUUCGUUACUGGACCUUUCGUUACUGGAUCAGGAAUUGCAAACUGGAGUGUUCUUGAUAACCAGUGUCUUUAAAAACAAAUAUAAACAACUGAAGAGGAGCAGGUACCAUCCAGUUCCUCAGGCCCCACUAAUUUCCAUGGCUGUGAUACUCUUCCCAUUAACACAUUUUUCUUAAUCUACUGGCCCUUAUAUGUUUUUGAGUCUACACACCCCAAUGCAGCGCAAUUUAAUAAAGCACUUCGUAUUAUGGCCUAAUGAUGGAAGGAAGGACAGUUUUUUUCUAGUCUUUAAAACUAAGAACAAUCUGCUUAUAUGAUGACAGGAUAAAUGUUUGUGUGGUUGGAAGAUGCUAAUCAAAUCUCACUGAUUUUGAAACUCCACAAUUUAAGAAUAAUUCCUGGCUGGGCAUAGUGGCUCAUACCUGUAAUCCAAGGCUGAAGGAUCACUUGAGCCCAGGAGUUUGAGACCAGCUUGGGCAACAUAGUGAGACUCUGUCUCUACAAAACAGUAUUUUAAAAGAAUUAGCUAGGCAUGGUGGCAUGAGAACCUGUAGUCCCAGCUACUCAGGAGGCUGAGGCAGGAGGAUUACUUGAGCCCGGGAGAGUUUGAGGCUUCAGUGAGCUGUGAUUGUGCCACUGCACGCCAACCUGGGUGACCGAGUAAGAUCCCCAUCUCAAAAAAACAAAAAGAAAUUCCUUUGAAUGAAGUGCCAUGGGGUUGGAGAUGUUCAGGGAAAGGGACUAGUAAGGUCAGUUUCAGAUACAAGUAGCACCUUGAGGUCCAGAGAUAAAGCCCUUGUGAAUGUCUGACCCAGGCAAAAUAUUGCAGUGUUGUCUGAACCUGAUGGAAGAUGAGUCUUUAAUCCUAUUAAGUGUGGCCCUCAAAUGGACCCUCAGUGGUGUUAAAGCAAAAUAAAUAUGUCCUGAGAAGGACUCCAUAGUUCUAUAUUUGAAUCCUUGUGGAUGAAAUGUAACCGAGCUUAACAGACAAAACUAAAAACCUAAUUAGUAGUAUCCACCUGUAACAAUAGCUGAGUGUUGGCCAAUCCCAGCGGCCGUACUUCAACCACUCUUAGAUUGCUGAAUUUUCAAACUGUGUUUAAAUACGGCAAACGCCAAGCUGUGACCAAUCUCAGUUUCUGUACCUCACUUCCUAUUCCUGCGUGUCACUUUACCCUUUCUGUCUAUGAAUUUGCCCUGACCACGAGGCAACCUUGGAGUCUCUGUGAAUCUGCUGUGAUUCUGGGGGCUGCCCGAUUUGCGAAUCGUUCGUUCCUCAAUUAAACUGCCUUAAAUUUAGUUGAGCUGAAGUUUUUCUUUUCUCAGUGGGCUGGGCC
RNAcentral lists this long non-coding RNA (1566 nucleotides) under Callithrix jacchus (white-tufted-ear marmoset). Its description in RNAcentral is "lncRNA (ENSCJAG00000086089.1)". Lineage: Eukaryota; Metazoa; Chordata; Mammalia; Primates; Cebidae. The record is from RNAcentral.